Molecule: transfer RNA, 72 nt
Filed under: Paralaubuca typus
Lineage: Eukaryota; Metazoa; Chordata; Actinopteri; Cypriniformes; Xenocyprididae
Description: tRNA-Ile
Source: RNAcentral
GGAGCUGUGCCCGAAUGCCCAGGGGCCACCUUGAUGAGGUGAACCACAGGAGUUAAAAUCUCCUCAGUUCUU